Molecule: ribosomal RNA, 371 nt
Filed under: uncultured Alphaproteobacteria bacterium
Lineage: Bacteria; Pseudomonadati; Pseudomonadota; Alphaproteobacteria
Description: bacterial SSU rRNA
Rfam family: Bacterial small subunit ribosomal RNA
Source: RNAcentral
GCCAGCAGCCGCGGUAAUACGGAGGGGGCUAGCGUUGUUCGGAAUUACUGGGCGUAAAGCGCGCGUAGGCGGAUUGAUCAGUGGGGGGUGAAAUCCCGAGGCUCAACCUUGGAACUGCCCUCAAUACUGUCAGUCUAGAGUCCGAGAGAGGUGAGUGGAAUUCCUAGUGUAGAGGUGAAAUUCGUAGAUAUUAGGAAGAACACCAGUGGCGAAGGCGGCUCACUGGCUCGAUACUGACGCUGAGGUGCGAAAGCGUGGGGAGCAAACAGGAUUAGAUACCCCUGGUAGUCCCACGCCGUAAACGAUGGGUGCUAGCUGUCAGGCAGCAUGCUGUUUGGUGGCGCAGCUAACGCAUAAACAUUCCGCCUGGG